RNAcentral lists this ribosomal RNA (198 nucleotides) under uncultured bacterium. RNAcentral describes it as "partial 16S ribosomal RNA". It matches the Rfam family "Bacterial small subunit ribosomal RNA", at positions 328 to 539 of the family's 1533-position model. The record is from RNAcentral.
ACGCUCGACACCUACGGGAGACAGCAGUGGGGAAUAUUGCACAAUGGGGGAAACCCUGAUGCAGCGACGCCGCGUGGAGGAAGAAGGUCUUCGGAUUGUAAACUCCUGUUGUUGGGGAAAAAGAGGAUGGUACCCAACAAGGAAGUGACGGCUAACUACGUGCCGGCAGCCGCGGUAAUCUGAGCGGGCUGGCAAGGC